Molecule: ribosomal RNA, 468 nt
Filed under: uncultured bacterium
Lineage: Bacteria
Description: partial 16S ribosomal RNA
Rfam family: Bacterial small subunit ribosomal RNA
Source: RNAcentral
GACGAACGCUGGCGGUGUGCUUAACACAUGCAAGUCGAACGGUAAGGCCCUUUCGGGGGUACACGAGUGGCGAACGGGUGAGUAACACGUGAGUAACCUGCCCUCAUCUCUGGGAUAACAGUCGGAAACGGUUGCUAAUACUGGAUAUGAGCUUGCAAGGCAUCUUGUGGGUUGGAAAGAUUUUUUUUGGUUGGGGAUGGACUCGCGGCCUAUCAGCUUGUUGGUGAGGUAGUGGCUCACCAAGGCUUCGACGGGUAGCCGGCCUGAGAGGGCGACCGGCCACAUUGGGACAGAGAUACGGCCCAAACUCCUACGGGAGGCAGCAGUGGGGAAUAUUGCACAAUGGACGGAAGUCUGAUGCAGCAACGCCGCGUGCGGGAUGACGGCCUUCGGGUUGUAAACCGCUUUCAAUUGUGACGAAGCUUUUUUGUGACGGUAGCAGUAGAAGAAGCACCGGCUAACUACGUG